This 279-nucleotide long non-coding RNA is filed under the name Brassica napus (rape). Its description in RNAcentral is "long non-coding RNA (BNAP_LNC019112)". Lineage: Eukaryota; Viridiplantae; Streptophyta; Magnoliopsida; Brassicales; Brassicaceae. The record is from RNAcentral.
UCCUUAAGCUCACGCCUCGCCGCAAGAAUCGCCGCUUCAUUCAUCAAGUUCUGCAAGUCAGCGCCAGUGAAACCCGGAGUCCUCCUCGCAACCUUAUCAAAAUCCACAUCUUUACCAAUCGCCUUCCCUCUAGAAUGAACCUGAAGAAUCUUUACCCUCCCAGCCACAUCAGGCCUAUCAACCGUCACCUGCCUAUCAAACCUCCCAGGCCUCAGCAACGCAGAGUCCAAAACAUCAGGCCUAUUCGUAGCAGCCAACACAAUCACACCAGAGUUACCA